GGUAAAAUCCGUAGAUAUCACCAAGAAUACCCAUUGCGAAGGCGAUCUGCUGGAACUCAACUGACGCUAAGGCGCGAAAGCGUGGGGAGCAAACAGGAUUAGAUACCCUGGUAGUCCACGCCCUAAACGAUGUACACUAGUUGUUGGGGUGCUAGUCAUCUCAGUAAUGCAGCUAACGCAUUAAGUGUACCGCCUGGGGAGUACGGUCGCAAGAUUAAAACUCAAAGGAAUAGACGGGGACCCGCACAAGCGGUGGAGCAUGUGGUUUAAUUCGAAGAUACGCGAAGAACCUUACCUGGGCUUGAUAUCCUAAGAACCUUUUAGAGAUAAGAGGGUGCUAGCUUGCUAGAACUUAGAGACAGGUGCUGCACGGCUGUCGUCAGCUCGUGUCGUGAGAUGUUGGGUUAAGUCCCGCAACGAGCGCAACCCACGUAUUUAGUUGCUAACGGUUCGGCCGAGCACUCUAAAUAGACUGCCUUCGUAAGGAGGAGGAAGGUGUGGACGACGUCAAGUCAUCAUGGCCCUUAUGCCCAGGGCGACACACGUGCUACAAUGGCAUAUACAAUGAGACGCAAUACCGCGAGGUGGAGCAAAUCUAUAAAAUAUGUCCCAGUUCGGAUUGUUCUCUGCAACUCGAGAGCAUGAAGCCGGAAUCGCUAGUAAUCGUAGAUCAGCCAUGCUACGGUGAAUACGUUCCCGGGUCUUGUACUCACCGCCCGUCACACCAUGGGAGUUGAUUUCACUCGAAGCCGGAAUACUAAACUAGUUACCGUCCACAGUGGAAUCAGCGACUGGGGUGAAGUCGUAACAAGGUAACCGUAGGAGAACCUGCGGUUGGAUCACCUCCUUUCUA
RNAcentral lists this ribosomal RNA (853 nucleotides) under Campylobacter coli. Its description in RNAcentral is "bacterial SSU rRNA". It matches the Rfam family "Bacterial small subunit ribosomal RNA", at positions 680 to 1533 of the family's 1533-position model. The record is from RNAcentral. RNAcentral also lists the same sequence under 1 other name. Lineage: Bacteria; Pseudomonadati; Campylobacterota; Epsilonproteobacteria; Campylobacterales; Campylobacteraceae.